UGAGGAGUGAGUUCUGGGGGUUCAAUGGGAUAUCUAGCCGGGUGGCUUGUCUACCACGAUCACGUGUAAGCAAGUUGAUUGGUUGCAGUUUCAGUUCAUCAUCAAAUGGCAAUGGUAGCAUGGCUGAGAAUUUUAGUGAAAGCGAUGCUGAUUAUGUGAAUUCUAGCGUGGUUGAAGCUGGUAUGCUAAUUUUGUUGAUCAGGGCGAUAUGUGUGCUGUGUUUUGACAUUUUGUUUGCUGUAUAGUGGUGUGUUGUUUGUUUUUGUACAAGUGGAGUAAACUAUUUCUUCACUUAACAUUGAUGGAAAAGAGUGGAUCUUGCUGAAGUUCCAACUUUUUUCUGGAAAUGGUUUUCCACGAUAUGAUGAAGUAAUAUUUCCUGAAAAAUUUUCCCCAUCUAUUCUGCUAGAUUUCUGUAAUAGUACUGUUUUGCUAAAUUUGCAAGACAGUCAAUCUUUCAACAUUUAAGGGAUCAACGAAGCACGCUGCCAAGUCUCAACACAUGUCAAAGUAAAAGUGAUACAAUUUUUGUGGUGACUUUCCUAUUAUCCUGUGUAGUUGAAGUGCGAAGUGGGAAAGAUGGUUUCGUGAUCAAGAUGAGAGAUGGCAGACAUUUGAAAUGCGUCCCCAGCAAUCCACAGUGCGGUCAUAUACCUGAUUAUGCUCCACAACCAGCGAUUGUGCUAAGAAUGGAGGAUGGAACUGGGCUGCUUCUUCCUAUAAUUGUUU
RNAcentral lists this long non-coding RNA (729 nucleotides) under Nicotiana tabacum (common tobacco). RNAcentral's name for it is "long non-coding RNA (NTAB_LNC016431)". Lineage: Eukaryota; Viridiplantae; Streptophyta; Magnoliopsida; Solanales; Solanaceae. The record is from RNAcentral.